UACGUAGGGUGCAAGCGUUGUCCGGAAUUAUUGGGCGUAAAGAGCUCGUAGGCGGUCUGUCGCGUCGGCUGUGAAAUCCCGAGGCUCAACCUCGGGUCUGCAGUCGAUACGGGCAAACUAGAGUAUUGCAGGGGAGACUGGAAUUCCAGGUGUAGCGGUGAAAUGCGUAGAUAUCAAGAGGAAUACCUGAGGUGAAGGCGGGUUGCUAGGCCGACACUGACGCUGAAGCGCGAAAGCCAGGGGAGCAAACGGG
RNAcentral lists this ribosomal RNA (253 nucleotides) under uncultured bacterium. RNAcentral describes it as "partial 16S ribosomal RNA". It matches the Rfam family "Bacterial small subunit ribosomal RNA", at positions 524 to 776 of the family's 1533-position model. The record is from RNAcentral.